CCUACGGGAGGCUGCAGUGGGGAAUCUUGCGCAAUGGGCGAAAGCCUGACGCAGCCAUGCCGCGUGAAUGAUGAAGGUCUUAGGAUUGUAAAAUUCUUUCACCGGGGACGAUAAUGACGGUACCCGGAGAAGAAGCCCCGGCUAACUUCGUGCCAGCAGCCGCGGUAAUACGAAGGGGGCUAGCGUUGCUCGGAAUUGCUGGGCGUAAAGGGAGCGUAGGCGGACUGUUAAGUUAGAGGUGAAAGCCCAGGGCUCAACCUUGGAAUUGCCUUUGAUACUGGCAGUCUUGAGUACGGAAGAGGUAUGUGGAACUCCGAGUGUAGAGGUGAAAUUCGUAGAUAUUCGGAAGAACACCAGUGGCGAAGGCGACAUACUGGUCCGUUACUGACGCUGAGGCUCGAAAGCGUGGGGAGCAAACAGGAUUAGAUACCCCGGUAGUC
RNAcentral lists this ribosomal RNA (440 nucleotides) under uncultured Porphyrobacter sp. RNAcentral describes it as "bacterial SSU rRNA". It matches the Rfam family "Bacterial small subunit ribosomal RNA", at positions 338 to 795 of the family's 1533-position model. Lineage: Bacteria; Pseudomonadati; Pseudomonadota; Alphaproteobacteria; Sphingomonadales; Erythrobacteraceae. The record is from RNAcentral.